UGCCCAGCAACUCCAAUCCCUACCUCCUCGUGGUACUGGCCGGGGUACGAGCAACCUUGAAAAAGAUCGGGUAACUAGCCCAGGUGGGAACUUUGAUGAUAUGCUGACAGGGAAGG
RNAcentral lists this ribozyme (116 nucleotides) under Aedes aegypti (yellow fever mosquito). RNAcentral describes it as "drz-agam-1 ribozyme". It matches the Rfam family "drz-agam-1 ribozyme". The record is from Rfam by way of RNAcentral. Lineage: Eukaryota; Metazoa; Arthropoda; Insecta; Diptera; Culicidae.